CACGUAGGGCGCAAGCGUUGUCCGGAAUUAUUGGGCGUAAAGAGCUCGUAGGCGGUCUGUCGCGUCGGUCGUGAAAACGUUGGGGCUUAACCCUGAGCUUGCGGUCGAUACGGGCAUGACUGGAGUUCGGCAGGGGAGACUGGAAUUCCUGGUGUAGCGGUGAAAUGCGCAGAUAUCAGGAGGAACACCGGUGGCGAAGGCGGGUCUCUGGAACGGUACUGACGCUGAGACGCGAAAGCGUGGGGAGCGAACAGG
RNAcentral lists this ribosomal RNA (255 nucleotides) under uncultured bacterium. RNAcentral describes it as "partial 16S ribosomal RNA". It matches the Rfam family "Bacterial small subunit ribosomal RNA", at positions 524 to 776 of the family's 1533-position model. The record is from RNAcentral.